GGGCUGUUAGCUCAGCUGGCUAGAGUGCUACGUUGACAUCGUAGAGGUCACUGGUUCGAGCCCAGUACAGCCCACCA
This 77-nucleotide transfer RNA is filed under the name Tissierellia bacterium. RNAcentral's name for it is "tRNA-Val". It matches the Rfam family "tRNA". From Rfam's summary of the family: Transfer RNA (tRNA) molecules are approximately 80 nucleotides in length. Their secondary structure includes four short double-helical elements and three loops (D, anti-codon, and T loops). The record is from RNAcentral. Lineage: Bacteria; Bacillati; Bacillota; Tissierellia.